CCUACGGGUGGCUGCAGUGGGGAAUAUUGGACAAUGGGGGGAACCCUGAUCCAGCCAUGCCGCGUGUGUGAAGAAGGCCCUCGGGUUGUAAAGCACUUUCAGUGAGGAAGAACGCCUGGUGGUUAAUACCCAUCAGGAAAGACAUCACUCACAGAAGAAGCACCGGCUAACUCCGUGCCAGCAGCCGCGGUAAUACGGAGGGUGCGAGCGUUAAUUGGAAUUACUGGGCGUAAAGCGCGCGUAGGUGGCUUGAUAAGCCGGUUGUGAAAGCCCCGGGCUCAACCUGGGAACGGCAUCCGGAACUGUCAAGCUAGAGUGCAGGAGAGGAAGGUAGAAUUCCCGGUGUAGCGGUGAAAUGCGUAGAGAUCGGGAGGAAUACCAGUGGCGAAGGCGGCCUUCUGGACUGACACUGACACUGAGGUGCGAAAGCGUGGGUAGCAAACAGGAUUAGAUACCCGUGUAGUC
Molecule: ribosomal RNA, 465 nt
Filed under: Vreelandella stevensii
Lineage: Bacteria; Pseudomonadati; Pseudomonadota; Gammaproteobacteria; Oceanospirillales; Halomonadaceae
Description: partial 16S ribosomal RNA
Rfam family: Bacterial small subunit ribosomal RNA
Source: RNAcentral